Molecule: ribosomal RNA, 614 nt
Filed under: Aspergillus peyronelii
Lineage: Eukaryota; Fungi; Ascomycota; Eurotiomycetes; Eurotiales; Aspergillaceae
Description: eukaryotic LSU rRNA
Rfam family: Eukaryotic large subunit ribosomal RNA
Source: RNAcentral
GAUACCCGCUGAACUUAAGCAUAUCAAUAAGCGGAGGAAAAGAAACCAACCGGGAUUGCCUCAGUAACGGCGAGUGAAGCGGCAAGAGCUCAAAUUUGAAAGCUGGCCCCUCCGGGGUCCGCGUUGUAAUUUGCAGAGGAUGCUUCGGGUGCGGCCCCUGUCUAAGUGCCCUGGAACGGGCCAUCGGAGAGGGUGAGAAUCCCGUCUGGGAUGGGGAGUCCGCGCCCGUGUGAAGCGCCUUCGACGAGUCGAGUUGUUUGGGAAUGCAGCUCUAAAUGGGUGGUAAAUUUCAUCUAAAGCUAAAUACUGGCCGGAGACCGAUAGCGCACAAGUAGAGUGAUCGAAAGAUGAAAAGCACUUUGAAAAGAGAGUUAAAUAGCACGUGAAAUUGUUGAAAGGGAAGCGCUUGCGACCAGACUCGCUCGCGGGGUUCAGCCGGGACUCGUCCCGGUGCACUUCCCCGCGGGCGGGCCAGCGUCGGUUUGGGCGGCCGUUCAAAGGCCCCGGGAAUGUAGCGCCCUUCGGGGCGCCUUAUAGCCCGGGGUGCAAUGCGGCCAGCCCGGACCGAGGAACGCGCUUCGGCACGGACGCUGGCAUAAUGGUCGCAAACGACC